UACGUAGGGGGCAAGCGUUGUCCGGAUUUAUUGGGCGUAAAGCGCGUGUAGGCGGCUGGGUCGGUCUGCUGUGAAAACUUGAGGCUCAACCUCAAGAGGUCGGUGGAAACCAUCCAGCUAGAGUCCGGAAGAGGAGAAUGGAAUUCCUGGUGUAGCGGUGAAAUGCGCAGAUAUCCGAAGGAACACCGGUGGCGAAGGCGGCUUCCUGGACCGACACUGACGCUGAGGCGCGAAAGCUAGGGGAGCAAACGGG
RNAcentral lists this ribosomal RNA (253 nucleotides) under uncultured bacterium. RNAcentral describes it as "partial 16S ribosomal RNA". It matches the Rfam family "Bacterial small subunit ribosomal RNA", at positions 524 to 776 of the family's 1533-position model. The record is from RNAcentral.